CCCUUAGAGUUUGAUCCUGGCUCAGGAUGAACGCUGGCGGCGUGCUUAACACAUGCAAGUCGAACGAUGAAGCCCAGCUUGCUGGGUGGAUUAGUGGCGAACGGGUGAGUAACACGUGAGUAACCUGCCCUUGACUCUGGGAUAAGCGCUGGAAACGGCGUCUAAUACCGGAUACGAGCUUCCACCGCAUGGUGAGUUGCUGGAAAGAAUUUCGGUCAAGGAUGGACUCGCGGCCUAUCAGGUAGUUGGUGAGGUAACGGCUCACCAAGCCGACGACGGGUAGCCGGCCUGAGAGGGUGACCGGCCACACUGGGACUGAGACACGGCCCAGACUCCUACGGGAGGCAGCAGUGGGGAAUAUUGCACAAUGGGCGCAAGCCUGAUGCAGCAACGCCGCGUGAGGGACGAAGGCCUUCGGGUCGUAAACCUCUUUUAGCAGGGAAGAAGCGAAAGUGACGGUACCUGCAGAAAAAGCACCGGCUAACUACGUGCCAGCAGCCGCGGUAAUACGUAGGGUGCGAGCGUUAUCCGGAAUUAUUGGGCGUAAAGAGCUCGUAGGCGGUUUGUCACGUCUGCUGUGAAAACUGGAGGCUCAACCUUCAGCCUGCAGUGGGUACGGGCAGACUAGAGUGCGGUAGGGGAGAUUGGAAUUCCUGGUGUAGCGGUGGAAUGCGCAGAUAUCAGGAGGAACACCGAUGGCGAAGGCAGAUCUCUGGGCCGUUACUGACGCUGAGGAGCGAAAGCGUGGGGAGCGAACAGGAUUAGAUACCCUGGUAGUCCACGCCGUAAACGGUGGGCGCUAGAUGUGGGGACCAUUCCACGGUUUCCGUGUCGCAGCUAACGCAUAAGCGCCCCCG
This 857-nucleotide ribosomal RNA is filed under the name Plantibacter flavus. Its description in RNAcentral is "bacterial SSU rRNA". It matches the Rfam family "Bacterial small subunit ribosomal RNA", at positions 1 to 871 of the family's 1533-position model. Lineage: Bacteria; Bacillati; Actinomycetota; Actinomycetes; Micrococcales; Microbacteriaceae. The record is from RNAcentral.